Molecule: small nucleolar RNA, 113 nt
Organism: Cebus imitator (Panamanian white-faced capuchin)
Lineage: Eukaryota; Metazoa; Chordata; Mammalia; Primates; Cebidae
Source: Ensembl
GGCCCAGUGAUGACACCAUCCUUGCUCCCCCGUGCCCCCUGCGGGGCUGUGGGCGACACCAUGGCUGCCCCCAGGCUGGGCCAGUGGGGCCAAUGCCUGGGGGACUGAGGGCA